UAAACAUUUUAAAAGAAUAUAAUCAUUCUCUCUCUAUCUCUCUCUAUCUCUCUCCGCCUUUUCUUCCCUUACCAAAAUGAAAAAACACAGCAUCACUAAAUCUGCAAAAGGAAAUGCAAUUUGAUGCUCAGUUCAGAAAUGCGUUGCUCUAUACAUGCGGCAACCUGCAGCAUUUUGAUUUUCCUCUUGAAGUUGGAGUCCACCUUUUUGGGGGGAAACCAGGUGAUAGGAGAAAACUCUUACGAUGAGUGAGCUUCUUAAUUUGCGACGUAAAUUUGUUGAGAGGAUUCGAUGUUGAUUGGCCAAUUUUUGCAGAUUUAUACUGCAUUAUUCAAGAGAAGAAAUGUAAGAAUCUGGAAAUGAAAAGCAGCUGAAGCUUUUGAAGUACAAGAAAAGGAAAAACAAACACGUAUUUCCUUUGCUCUGGAUCUUGAGGGAAAAGCAUUUCUCUCUUGCCGCAUGGAAAAAACACAGAUUUUUUUUUCCAAAGUUUAAAAACAGAAUUGAUGUCGAUGACUUCAAGAUGAGUUCACAACUGUAGGGUUCCGUCUCCCUUGCCAAGAUUCGAGAGGAACAUAUUCAAGUUCUGCUCCGACACAUGGUGAUAUCUGAAUUAGUUUUUGAGAUUGAAUACAGCCCACCACCACGAAACUGGCUACAAACCAAAAGGUUCGGACCCGAGGAACCGAGGACCUCAGCAGUGAGAUAGCUGCUUCAGAGUCAUUAGA
Manihot esculenta (cassava) is the source of this 728-nucleotide long non-coding RNA. RefSeq lists it as uncharacterized. The record is from RefSeq and is a predicted model, not a curated record. The transcript has 5 exons. NCBI's taxonomy places the organism in Eukaryota, Viridiplantae, Streptophyta, Magnoliopsida, Malpighiales, Euphorbiaceae.